ACUCAAAGGAAUUGACGGGGGCCCGCACAAGCGGCGGAGCAUGUGGAUUAAUUCGAUGCAACGCGAAGAACCUUACCUGGGUUUGACAUGCACUGGACGCUGCCAGAGAUGGUAGUUCCCUUGUGGCUGGUGCACAGGUGGUGCAUGGCUGUCGUCAGCUCGUGUCGUGAGAUGUUGGGUUAAGUCCCGCAACGAGCGCAACCCUUGUCCCAUGUUGCCAGCGGGUAAUGCCGGGGACUCAUGGGAGACUGCCGGGGUCAACUCGGAGGAAGGUGGGGAUGAGGUCAAGUCAUCAUGCCCCUUAUGUCCAGGGCUUCACACAUGCUACAAUGGCCGGUACAGAGGGCUGCGAAACCGUGAGGUGGAGCGAAUCUCAGAAAGCCGGUCUCAGUUCGGAUCGCAGUCUGCAACUCGACUGCGUGAAGUCGGAGUCGCUAGUAAUCGCAGAUCAGCAACGCUGCGGUGAAUACGUUCCCGGGCCUUGUACACACCGCCCGU
This 498-nucleotide ribosomal RNA is filed under the name uncultured bacterium. RNAcentral's name for it is "bacterial SSU rRNA". It matches the Rfam family "Bacterial small subunit ribosomal RNA", at positions 899 to 1397 of the family's 1533-position model. The record is from RNAcentral.